CCAGACGGUCGGAUGGCCGCUUCGCCCUUGGGCGGGGAGGAAAGUCCGGGCUCCACGGAAACACGGUGCCGGGUAACGCCCGGCGGGGGCGACCMCAGGGAAAGUGCCACAGAGAGCAGACCGCCGGCCUACAGGGUCGGCAAGGGUGAAAGGGUGCGGUAAAAGCGCACCGCGGCCCCGGCAACGGGGGCGGCAUGGUAAACCCCACCGGGAGCAAGAUCGAAUAGGGACGGCACGUGCUUGCCUUUCGGGGUGGCACAGGCAGCGUUUUCCGGGCCGCCGUCCGGGUAGUAUCGCGCGAGGCGUCCGGCGACGGGCGUCCCAGAUGAAUGGCCAUCCCCUCCGGCGUGCCGGAGCGGACAGAACCCGGCUUACAGACCGUCUGGCUUU
This 390-nucleotide RNase P RNA is filed under the name Pararhodospirillum photometricum DSM 122. RNAcentral's name for it is "Bacterial RNase P class A". It matches the Rfam family "Bacterial RNase P class A". From Rfam's summary of the family: Ribonuclease P (RNase P) is a ubiquitous endoribonuclease, found in archaea, bacteria and eukarya as well as chloroplasts and mitochondria. Its best characterised activity is the generation of mature 5'-ends of tRNAs by cleaving the 5'-leader elements of precursor-tRNAs. Lineage: Bacteria; Pseudomonadati; Pseudomonadota; Alphaproteobacteria; Rhodospirillales; Rhodospirillaceae. The record is from Rfam by way of RNAcentral.